Non-coding RNA from Ciona savignyi (Pacific transparent sea squirt), 45 nucleotides. The record is from Rfam. NCBI's taxonomy places the organism in Eukaryota, Metazoa, Chordata, Ascidiacea, Phlebobranchia, Cionidae.
AAAACGGCUCUUUUCAGAGCCACCCAUUCGUCAAAGAGAUCCAAA